Molecule: ribosomal RNA, 492 nt
Filed under: uncultured bacterium
Lineage: Bacteria
Description: partial 16S ribosomal RNA
Rfam family: Bacterial small subunit ribosomal RNA
Source: RNAcentral
AGUGAACGCUGGCGGUAGGCCUAACACAUGCAAGUCGAACGGCAGCACAGUAAGAGCUUGCUCUUACGGGUGGCGAGUGGCGGACGGGUGAGGAAUACAUCGGAAUCUACUUUUUCGUGGGGGAUAACGUAGGGAAACUUACGCUAAUACCGCAUACGACCUACGGGUGAAAGCAGGGGAUCUUCGGACCUUGCGCGAUUGAAUGAGCCGAUGUCGGAUUAGCUAGUUGGCGGGGUAAAGGCCCACCGAGGCGACGAUCCGUAGCUGGUCUGAGAGGAUGAUCAGCCACACUGGAACUGAGACACGGUCCAGACUCCUACGGGAGGCAGCAGUGGGGAAUAUUGGACAAUGGGCGCAAGCCUGAUCCAGCCAUACCGCGUGGGUGAAGAAGGCCUUCGGGUUGUAAAGCCCUUUUGUUGGGAAAGAAAAGCAGCAGGUUAAUACCCCGCUGUUCUGACGGUACCCAAAGAAUAAGCACCGGCUAACAUCGUG